This 552-nucleotide non-coding RNA is filed under the name Sarcophilus harrisii (Tasmanian devil). Its description in RNAcentral is "Eukaryotic small subunit ribosomal RNA". It matches the Rfam family "Eukaryotic small subunit ribosomal RNA", at positions 113 to 598 of the family's 1831-position model. The record is from Rfam by way of RNAcentral. Lineage: Eukaryota; Metazoa; Chordata; Mammalia; Dasyuromorphia; Dasyuridae.
UGUUUGUGCAUGGCCAUUCUUAUGUGGAAGAAUGAUUUGUCUGGUUAAUUCCAAUACUGAAUAAAACACUGACAUGCUAAGUUACAUGACCCCCUAAGUGGUCAGCAUCCCAACUUCUUGGAGCAACAAGUGGCAUUCUGUUUCCCAAAUUUGAGCAAUAACUGGUCUGUGAUGCCAUUAGUAAUUACUCUAGAUAAUUUUGGGCUGAUUACAUGCCCCCCAUGGUUAUGAUGAUGAACCAUUUGAAUAUCUGUCUUAUCAACUUUCUAUGAUACUUGCUAUGUCUACUGUAGUGACUUCAGGGUCAGGGUGGUAGGGAAUCACAGUUUGAAUUUGGAGAGGGAGCCUGAAAAGUAGCUAUCACAUCCAUGGAAAGCAGCAGGCACAAAAAUUAUCACCUCCCAACCUGAGAAGGUAGUGAUGAAAAAUAACAAUAUAGAAUUUUUUUCAAGGUCUUGUAACUGGAAUGAGUUCACUUUAAAUCUUCCAAUAAGGAUUCAUUGGAGAGCAAGUAUGGUGCCAUCAGUUGUGGUACUUGUAGCUCUAAUAGCA